UGCAGUCGAGCGCAGGAAGCAAGCUGAUCCCCUUCGGGGGUGACGCUUGUGGAAUGAGCGGCGGACGGGUGAGUAACACGUGGGCAACCUGCCUGUAAGACUGGGAUAACCCCGGGAAACCGGGGCUAAUACCGGAUAAUACUUUCUUUUGCAUAAAGGAAAGUUGAAAGGCGGCUUCGGCUGUCACUUACAGAUGGGCCCGCGGCGCAUUAGCUAGUUGGUGAGGUAACGGCUCACCAAGGCGACGAUGCGUAGCCGACCUGAGAGGGUGAUCGGCCACACUGGGACUGAGACACGGCCCAGACUCCUACGGGAGGCAGCAGUAGGGAAUCUUCCGCAAUGGACGAAAGUCUGACGGAGCAACGCCGCGUGAGUGAUGAAGGUUUUCGGAUCGUAAAACUCUGUUGUUAGGGAAGAACAAGUUGGGUAGUAACUGACCCAACCUUGACGGUACCUAACCAGAAAGCCACGGCUAACUACGUGCCAGCAGCCGCGGUAAUACGUAGGUGGCAAGCGUUGUCCGGAAUUAUUGGGCGUAAAGCGCUCGCAGGCGGUCCUUUAAGUCUGAUGUGAAAUCUCGCGGCUCAACCGCGAACGGUCAUUGGAAACUGGAGGACUUGAGUACAGAAGAGGAGAGUGGAAUUCCACGUGUAGCGGUGAAAUGCGUAGAGAUGUGGAGGAACACCAGUGGCGAAGGCGACUCUCUGGUCUGUAACUGACGCUGAGGAGCGAAAGCGUGGGGAGCGAACAGGAUUAGAUACCCUGGUAGUCCACGCCGUAAACGAUGAGUGCUAGGUGUUUAGGGGGUUUCCGCCCCUUAGUGCUGAAGUUAACGCAUUAAGCACUCCGCCUGGGGGAGUACGGCCGCAAGGCUGAAACUCAAAA
RNAcentral lists this ribosomal RNA (885 nucleotides) under Virgibacillus sp. RNAcentral describes it as "bacterial SSU rRNA". It matches the Rfam family "Bacterial small subunit ribosomal RNA", at positions 38 to 906 of the family's 1533-position model. Lineage: Bacteria; Bacillati; Bacillota; Bacilli; Caryophanales; Bacillaceae. The record is from RNAcentral.